This 485-nucleotide long non-coding RNA is filed under the name Homo sapiens (human). RNAcentral's name for it is "HSALNT0060022". Lineage: Eukaryota; Metazoa; Chordata; Mammalia; Primates; Hominidae. The record is from RNAcentral.
UUUCAUGUUCAAUUUCCUCAGUUCAGAAGAGGGUGCUCUCCAACCCCAGCCGGCUUCUUCACUCCCCUUUGGGAUCUUAGCUGGUAAAUUUCAACCAUGUGUUUUGCCCUAAAGGGGAAGUCCUCUGCCAGCUGUCUGGAGGGCCAUCCUUCCCAUUCAUAUCCCACUCCUGGUGCAUCUGGAGUCUUUGUCAAGUUCAUCUCCCAUGUUCACAAAUCCAUCAGUUUUCCCAGUGUUGUGGCUUAACUCUGUGGGUGUUUCUUUUCAUCCUCCCUACCCAUGUGCAAUGGGUUUGAGGCCUUCUUUUCUCUAAGUAAUGAGAUCCAUCAUCUUCUGAUACUUGCUUCUGACUCAUGCAGCAUAGGUGUUCCUCAACACUCUCAUCUCCUGAUCCCAUGCCUGAUGCAUGGCCUUCUCCUGCAAAUUCUCCUUUACCUCUUCCCUCCCCAGUGCCUCCGUCUUUGUCCCAGUCCUCUCCUCCUCAA